GGGGAGGUGGCUCAGUGGUAGAGUGCUUGCCUUGCAUGCAUGAGGCCCUGGGCUCGAUUCCUCUGUACCA
Molecule: transfer RNA, 70 nt
Filed under: Dipodomys ordii (Ord's kangaroo rat)
Lineage: Eukaryota; Metazoa; Chordata; Mammalia; Rodentia; Heteromyidae
Rfam family: tRNA
About the family: Transfer RNA (tRNA) molecules are approximately 80 nucleotides in length.
Source: Rfam by way of RNAcentral